This 1152-nucleotide long non-coding RNA is filed under the name Homo sapiens (human). RNAcentral describes it as "family with sequence similarity 157 member A (ENSG00000276938.3)". Lineage: Eukaryota; Metazoa; Chordata; Mammalia; Primates; Hominidae. The record is from RNAcentral.
AUGGGGCCUUUGUUCACCACCAUUCCUGGUGCCCAUUCUGGUCCCAUGCGUCCUCUGCCCAAGAAACACGUAGAACCCAUGGCAGUGCGACAGCUGCUUCUUGGCAACUCCACCAUGAUCAGGCACACUUGUCCCAUGUCUGUCCCGUUGAGCCGGCAAGUCAAGGAAGUUGCUGCCCAGAAACCAAGUGAGGACAUUUACAAGAACUGGCAGCAGCAGCAGCAGCAGCAGCAGCAGCAGCAGCAGCAGCAACUGGAUUUGCUUUUUCACCAGAGGAUCCAGAUUUCCCUGUGGCCUCGCAAACAAAAAAGAAGGAAGACGGAGCAGCACAGUCAUCCCUUUGUGAAAAAGGCAUUCAGGUUCUCCGCCGGCUCUGGCUGCGGGCGGCCCUCAUCUAACAAGAUGCUUCGGUCCAUGGGUGGAGGACAAAGGCCUACGGGCUUGGGGAGCGAGUUCUUUCGUCUCCUACAUGACCUUCAUCUGCUCGCGUUUGCCAUGAAGCGCAUCUGGAUCCACCGGAGGGGCGAGGCCACAGCUCGACCGCGAGCACCUGAGCAUCCUGCACCGCCUGCGACGGCCGUCAGGGGGCGCGAUGCCGCCUCACAGAACCUCAAGCGGCGCCCGGGUUCCGGCACAGACGGCCUGCGGCUCCAGGGGGCGGAGCCGAGCCGUCUCCUCAGGACCUACGCAGGAGGCGCCGUCAUCCCUACAGGGACACCUGAGAGGGCCCAGCCUCCUCCUCCUCAGGACCCACUCGGGAGACGCCGCUGGCUCUCUAGGAACACCUGGGGACCGUGGCCAGGGACGACCCAGCCUCCUUCUCCUCAGCUCCUCAGGAACGACUGGGGAAGCUGUGGCUUCAUGGUCCCCGAGGCUGCCCGAGGAAAGGUAUUUCAGGACAGCCAGGAGGGGGCGCACAUCCGCCGAGAAACUGUGAGCAAGAGCGUCUGUGCUGAACCAUGGCGCCACCAGAGGGCGCGCGAUCCCGCCCCAACCAACUUCCCGCUGAGGUGCCAGAAGCAGCGAGGAGCUUCAGCUUCCUCAGGGCAGCACGAGGGUCGUGUUAACUUGGUGUUCUUCAUUGGUUCCCCAACAGUUAUUGCUGUACCAGAUUUGCAGUGUCCCACAAAAUACUCCGGUAUGUUGUACUGA